UACGUAGGUGGCAAGCGUUGUCCGGAUUUACUGGGCGUAAAGAGCGCGCAGGCGGUCGUUCAAGUCGCGUGUGAAAGCCCCCGGCUCAACUGGGGAGGGUCACGCGAUACUGAUCGACUCGAAGGCAGGAGAGGGUAGUGGAAUUCCCGGUGUAGUGGUGAAAUGCGUAGAUAUCGGGAGGAACACCAGUGGCGAAGGCGGCCGACUGGGCCGUCUCCGACGCUGAUGCGCGAAAGCGUGGGGAGCAAACAGG
RNAcentral lists this ribosomal RNA (253 nucleotides) under uncultured bacterium. RNAcentral's name for it is "partial 16S ribosomal RNA". It matches the Rfam family "Bacterial small subunit ribosomal RNA", at positions 524 to 776 of the family's 1533-position model. The record is from RNAcentral.